UACGUAGGGGGCAAGCGUUGUCCGGAAUCAUUGGGCGUAAAGCGCGUGUAGGCGGCCAGGUAAGUCCGUUCUGAAAGCCCGGGGCUCAACCCCGGGAGGCGGAUGGAUACUGCUUGGCUCGAGUCCGGAAGAGGCGAGUGGAAUUCCCGGUGUAGCGGUGAAAUGCGCAGAUAUCGGGAGGAACACCAAUGGCGAAGGCGGCCUUCUGGUCCAGUACUGACACUCAAGUGCGAAAGCGUGGGGAGCAAACAGG
This 253-nucleotide ribosomal RNA is filed under the name uncultured bacterium. Its description in RNAcentral is "partial 16S ribosomal RNA". It matches the Rfam family "Bacterial small subunit ribosomal RNA", at positions 524 to 776 of the family's 1533-position model. The record is from RNAcentral.